CAGCCCUUGACAUGUCCGGGACCGGUCGCAGAGAUGUGACCCUCUCUUCGGAGUCCGGAACACAGGUGCUGCAUGGCUGUCGUCAGCUCGUGUCGUGAGAUGUUGGGUUAAGUCCCGCAACGAGCGCAACCCCCGUCCUUAGUUGCUACCAUUCAGUUGAGCACUCUAAGGAGACUGCCGGUGAUAAGCCACGAGGAAGGUGGGGAUGACGUCAAGUCCUCAUGGCCCUUACGGGCUGGGCUACACACGUGCUACAAUGGCGGUGACAAUGGGAAGCGAAGACGCAAGUCCUAGCAAAUCUCAAAAAACCGUCUCAGUUCGGAUUGGGCUCUGCAACUCGAGCCCAUGAAGCUGGAAUCGCUAGUAAUCGUGGAUCAGCACGCCACGGUGAAUA
This 394-nucleotide ribosomal RNA is filed under the name uncultured bacterium. RNAcentral's name for it is "bacterial SSU rRNA". It matches the Rfam family "Bacterial small subunit ribosomal RNA", at positions 975 to 1368 of the family's 1533-position model. The record is from RNAcentral.